AUGUUCUGGGCGUCCAUCGUUAGCCUUCUAGCAAUGUGGUGCGCAGGGUCGUACUCUCAGCCUGUGCUGUCUCAGCCACCGUCAGCAUCAGUCUCACUGAGGAACACAGUGAAACUCUCCUGCACUGGGCUCAGUGGCGCUACUGUAUACUGGUGCCAGCAGAAGCCUGGGAAUCCCCCAAGAUACCUCUUAUAUUAUUAUUCAGAUUCCAGCAAGGGCCAGGCGUCUGGACUCCCCUCUCGUUUCUCUGGGUCCAAAGACACGUCUGGAAACACCGCCUAUUUAACCAUCACGGGAGCCCUGGCAGAAGACGAGGCUGAUUAUUACUGUGUUGUAGCUUAUCAGUGGUAG
Non-coding RNA from Euleptes europaea (tarantolino), 351 nucleotides. Lineage: Eukaryota; Metazoa; Chordata; Lepidosauria; Squamata; Sphaerodactylidae. The record is from the annotation of a RefSeq genome assembly.